Molecule: microRNA precursor, 97 nt
Organism: Nicotiana attenuata
Lineage: Eukaryota; Viridiplantae; Streptophyta; Magnoliopsida; Solanales; Solanaceae
Rfam family: MIR6152 microRNA precursor family
Source: Rfam
UGGACAGAUUAUUGUAUUCGACUGUAUUCACGGUGUGAAAUAGGGGAUUACACUGUUUUUUAAACGGAAAGUGAAUCAAUUAACAUAAUAUACUCCU